RNAcentral lists this long non-coding RNA (516 nucleotides) under Homo sapiens (human). RNAcentral describes it as "long non-coding RNA NONHSAT222769". The record is from RNAcentral. Lineage: Eukaryota; Metazoa; Chordata; Mammalia; Primates; Hominidae.
UGGUGCAUUUCUGCUUCAGGCUUCUGAUUACGUGCAUCAGGCACCUGUCUACUAGAAUAGGCAACAUUUAUAAGAGUCCCAAAAACUUGUCUGUAAAGCUGUGUCAAACUAUGUUUCUCUUUAACUGAAUUGCUCUGCAUGAUCUUUUUCUCCAGUAAAUGCCUUAAAGGGGAGUUAUCUGUAUUUAUUUUCCCUUUCCUAGAUAGAAGCUAAGUUGUAUGUUUUGUGCCACAGCCUCCUGAUUUGUAUGAUACCAACACAUCCCUCAGUAUGUCUCGAGAUGCCUCUGUAUUUCAAGAUGAGAGCAAUAUGUCUGUCUUGGAUAUUCCCAGUGCCACUCCAGAAAAGCAGGUAACACAGGUAGGAUGUUCUUUUUCUCUUUAUAAGAUUGUUAUUGUGCCUGCAAGUGGGGCUAGGGGAAUGGUGAUGGUGAUGGUGAUAUGUGACAUAUGUCAAGAAUGACUGGGCCCUUUGGCCCUGGGAAUGAAAGCUUAGAAAUGGGAUUUCAAGUUGGGA